UACCGGCGAUUUAAAACCGCCGGUAAAAUAUCAUUACCGGCGGUUUUUAAACCGCCGGCAAAAUUAAAACUUUGCUGGCGGAUUUCUAAAACCGCUGGGAAUUCUUAUUUUUACCGGCGGUUCAACAAAACCGUCGGUAAAUUUUUUUCCCGGCGGUUAAAAACCGCCGGUAAUAU
Molecule: small nucleolar RNA, 176 nt
Organism: Diospyros lotus (date-plum)
Lineage: Eukaryota; Viridiplantae; Streptophyta; Magnoliopsida; Ericales; Ebenaceae
Source: RefSeq, a predicted model, not a curated record